AGAGUUUGAUCCUGGCUCAGAACGAACGCUGGCGGCAGGCUUAACACAUGCAAGUCGAACGAGUAAGUGCUGUAGCAAUACAGAUUACUGCUAGUGGCGCACGGGUGAGUAACACGUGGGAAUAUGCCCUUUAGUUCGGAAUAACAGCGGGAAACUGCUGCUAAUACCGGAUACGCCCUUCGGGGGAAAGAUUUAUCGCUAAAGGAUUAGCCCGCGUUAGAUUAGGUAGUUGGUGGGGUAAUGGCCUACCAAGCCUACGAUCUAUAGCUGGUCUGAGAGGAUGAUCAGCCACACUGGAACUGAGACACGGUCCAGACUCCUACGGGAGGCAGCAGUGGGGAAUAUUGGACAAUGGGCGAAAGCCUGAUCCAGCCAUGCCGCGUGAGUGAUGAAGGCCUUAGGGUUGUAAAGCUCUUUUACUAGGGAAGAUAAUGACGGUACCUAGAGAAUAAGCACCGGCUAACUUCGUGCCAGCAGCCGCGGUAAUACGAAGGGUGCUAGCGUUGUUCGGAAUUACUGGGCGUAAAGCGCGCGUAGGCGGCGAUUCAAGUCAGAGGUGAAAUCCCAGGGCUCAACCCUGGAAUUGCCUUUGAAACUAGAUCGCUAGAAUCUUGGAGGGGAUAGCGGAAUUCCGAAUGUAGCGGUGAAAUGCGUAGAUAUUCGGAGGAACACCGGUGGCGAAGGCGGCUAUCUGGACAAGUAUUGACGCUGAGGCGCGAAAGCGUGGGGAUCAAACAGGAUUAGAUACCCUGGUAGUCCACGCUGUAAACGAUGGGUGCUAGCUGUUGGGGACAUAGUCUUCGGUGGCGUAGCUAACGCGUUAAGCACCCCGCCUGGGGAGUACGGUCGCAAGAUUAAAACUCAAAGGAAUUGACGGGGACCCGCACAAGCGGUGGAACAUGUGGUUUAAUUCGAGGCAACGCGAAGAACCUUACCAGGCCUUGACAUGCUCUCUAUGAGCUCUUGAAAGAGAGCUCUUCACUUCGGGUGGGAGAUGCACAGGUGCUGCAUGGCUGUCGUCAGCUCGUGUCGUGAGAUGUUGGGUUAAGUCCCGCAACGAGCGCAACCCUCAUCCUUUGUUGCUAACAGGUAAUGCUGAGAACUCUAAGGAAACUGCCGGUGAUAAGCCGGAGGAAGGUGGGGAUGACGUCAAGUCCUCAUGGCCCUUACGGCCUGGGCUACACACGUGUUACAAUGGUGGUGACAAUGCGUCACAAACCUGCAAGGGUAAGCCAAUCGCAAAACGCCAUCUCAGUUCGGAUUGUACUCUGCAACUCGAGUACAUGAAGUUGGAAUCGCUAGUAAUCGCGGAUCAGCACGCCGCGGUGAAUACGUUCCCGGGUCUUGUACACACCGCCCGUCACACCAUGGGAGUUGGUUCUGCCUUAAGCCGUAUAGCUAACCGCAAGGAGGCGUACGACCACGGCAGGGUCAGUGACUGGGGUGAA
Molecule: ribosomal RNA, 1448 nt
Filed under: metagenome
Description: bacterial SSU rRNA
Rfam family: Bacterial small subunit ribosomal RNA
Source: RNAcentral